RNAcentral lists this ribosomal RNA (130 nucleotides) under uncultured eukaryote. RNAcentral's name for it is "partial 18S ribosomal RNA". It matches the Rfam family "Eukaryotic small subunit ribosomal RNA", at positions 1528 to 1659 of the family's 1831-position model. The record is from RNAcentral.
CUGCACCGAUAGGUGUGGGUAAUCUUUUGAAAUUGUAUCGUGAUGGGGCUUANCGGUUGUAAUUCCGCUACCAACGAGGAAUUCCUAGUAAGCGCAAGUCAUCAGCUUGCAUUGAUUACGUCCCUGCCCU